UCCUGUCACUUGCACGGCUAGUUUUUGGACCAGGUUGUACCGAAGGCAUUCCCCUCUGGAUGCUUCCUGCCUUUGCACCUGCCACCAGAGUCAGUGGAGAAACUACAUUGUCUCCAAGCUUGUGUGAUCUGAUCUCUGUAGCAUAUGUAUGAGCCAUUUGUUGCUCGAGUCUCUGAGAAUCCAAUCAUUCCAGAAAACACUUCCAGUUGGGAACAGACAGGAACCAAUUUAAGAAUUCAACUUCAAGUUCAAGAAACAGUCCCCUAGGUCACAGAGCAACUGUAUGGGGGGAUUGCAGCCUCCUUUUCAGCAUGAACAUGUUCAUACCAACACAGACCAGGACUGCUGCCCACUGCAGGUCACCAUUCUCCAUUUCAUUUUUAUUCCAAUUGCCAUGAGAAUAAUAUUUACCCUGUUUACUAUCAGUGUGAGCAAGGACAGGCAGCAUCAUCAAGACUGGUAUUCCAAGGUUCUCCUGUUCAUAGUGGUGGGAAACUGCACUGGACCCAGUGCACAGCGUUCAACUCUUUGGUGGGAUCCUCAGUAGCCAUUCUCUCUGAGUCCAUAGUUACUGCUUUCCAUCCCU
This 586-nucleotide long non-coding RNA is filed under the name Homo sapiens (human). Its description in RNAcentral is "non-protein coding lnc-MAP3K9-4:1". Lineage: Eukaryota; Metazoa; Chordata; Mammalia; Primates; Hominidae. The record is from RNAcentral.